This 2336-nucleotide long non-coding RNA is filed under the name Strigops habroptila (Kakapo). RNAcentral describes it as "lncRNA (ENSSHBG00005001559.1)". The record is from RNAcentral. Lineage: Eukaryota; Metazoa; Chordata; Aves; Psittaciformes; Psittacidae.
GCCGGGAGGAGGCGGCUGUCGGGAUUGUCCCAGCGCCAGGCUCGCCGUGGAAAGACGGGUCAGCGGGUCCUCAGCCGUGACUGUGGAGAGCCUGCGGUUACGGGAUUCUUCCCCCGGGCGGCAGGAGUUGCCUCCUCUGUGGUGCCCGGGCAGCCCUGCGAGGCGGGCUGGCGCCCCGCCGCGGCGGGAGGUGCCUGAGGGGGGCCCUGUGCUGCUUCGUGUCGGGUGGUGGAGGACGGCCCCGCCGCCAAUUCAGCUCGCCUGGGGAUAUGCUCCAGUAUGUAAGUGCCCAGACUUCGAGUGGGACUGCUCCUGUGGAAAAAGAUACGCACCCGCUUAACGUGCAGGACCUUGCUUCCGAGGAGUCAAGAGUAUUCGUUCAAAGGUAACAUAUAAUAAAAAAUAAACUAUAUUUAUUUGUUUCUCAGAAAAGAUUAUAUGAAUAAUCUUAAUCAAGAAAGUAUUUUACAGUAUAAAACCAGAUUAAUGUAAUUAAAAAAACCCAACAUUGUGAAGGAGAGGGUAACAGAGGGUAAUACUCUUAAUUCCUUUCUUCUUUUUACCACUUCAUGCAUAUUUUUCAAUUAAAAAAAUGAACAAACCAACAAAAAAGCCAGCAUUUUAAACACCUACUCUUAUUACUUAGGAAAAAAGUUUGUGAAAUGUUCAUGAGGGAUCAUUUUGCUCCUGGAAGUAUUGAUUGCAAAGUAGCGGUCCUAAUAUUGCAUGGGAGCUGAUUCCAGGUUUUGGCCAAAUGUGGAACUCUUUGGACCAAGGUCUGUAUAUCACAUAUCCUCCAUCUUCUGAGGAAGGGCUGAAAUUUUUCAUAUCUUUGGUAAAUUUGACAUUUAUUUUUAACAAAAACACCACAGCAUGGGGCUAUAUGCCCUAUUAAUGAAAGAAUCUUGGGAAUCUUACUACCACCCAGGGUGGGAAAAGACAGAAUUCAAUAUGUAUACCACAGAGGCCAAAUCUCUGUGGUCUUGACCAUCAAACUUCCCUUGCAACCUCACCGGUUGGAUGAUGAAAAGAUGCCAAAGCUUGGGUGGAAACAAUGCAUUUAGAACCAAUGUAAGUUGUAGACCCUUGCCAUGGGAUCCUACAGAAAAUCCAUUAUUUUAUCCAAGCUUUUAUGAACCUGAGUACUUUAUAUGAUGAUGGGAUACACCUUACUCUGUGGAACUUUCAUGCCAGGCGGGUGUCAGGAAUCAGGAUACACAGGAAUUCCAAUUCCCUGAGCUUGGUCCGGGGACAUUUUAGAAUAAGGAAUACCGUAUAAUGAUGCUAUACUUGAGCCACCUCCCAGGUGACCUGCAAGUCUUCUUUUUAACUGUUCUAAAGUAAAGAAGGACCGGGAGACCCCUUGAAACUUAGUGGGUAGAAAACAACAGAACUGCAAGGCGGGAAAAAAUCCAUGAUGAGAGUACCCAGUCCGAAAGCACUCAUGUGCCACCCAGCUCUCCCCUGCCAAGGAGGUUCCUCACUGGCCUGGGGGUGUGGAAAUCUCUUUUCUUGCUGCAUAUGUGAAUCCCAACCCUGGUGGGCCAGGGAAGUGUGGCCGUCAGCCUCGCAUUGACCACAAGGACUGCAGUGGACAACCAUGACCAUCUUUGCAUUGCUGGAGACCCAAGAAUAAUGAAGCCACCGGUGAAUUAUACCACCAGAAGAGUCGCAGGAAGAAAGGACAAAAUGUCAUACACAACCUGUUAGUUCAUAUUGGAUCAAUUAUUCUUUUAGGUAUUGCUGUAAUUAUUAUUUUAAUAUGUGUUUGUUUGCCUUGUGAUUGCCACUGCGGACGGUCACUUGCCUCUGAUCUCCCAGAGCCAUAGUCCUCAAACUUCGCAUGGGACACAUUUUGGUUUUGUAGAAUCAAUUAACUUUAGGCAUGUUAUUGUUAAAAGAAAAUGUUGUUAAUGAUUGGCAUAGCUACCGUGCGAUCUAUGAUUACACGUAUUUUCUACUUCUAUUCUUUCUUCUGAUCUUAUGUGCCUAUAACCACCGUGGAUGAAGACAACCAACACUGGUCCCAGCAGUGUUUAAGCCACAGAUUGGUGUGAGAGCCAGGAAACUGAGCUUGUCUCAGGCACCAUUUGCAUUCGACCAUGGGAGGCUUUGCAAGAAUUAGUGCAAACGAAGCAAACUUUAAGGAUGUUAGCUCUCAAUACUGCAUAGACAGGAUUGUCAUGACCCCUUUUUUUGAAGCUGGUAAACCACCACAGGAGUGUGAAAAAUGCUCAACUCGAGCUGACUCAAAGGAUGGAGUCAAAUAGUGGACACCACAAGAUGAGGGACGACGACCACCCAGAGGACCCUCACAGAACCCCAGCUUUGGAACU